RNAcentral lists this long non-coding RNA (527 nucleotides) under Arabidopsis lyrata. RNAcentral's name for it is "long non-coding RNA (ALYR_LNC000031)". The record is from RNAcentral. Lineage: Eukaryota; Viridiplantae; Streptophyta; Magnoliopsida; Brassicales; Brassicaceae.
AGAGAUUCCCUUCUGAGAGACAGAGAGAUAACACCGAAGAACGGAAGAAUUCACAGAAAAAGGCCUAUUUUCUCUCGCCAAAAGGCGUUUCUCCAAAAACUGUUUCUUCCGGCAAACAAUCUUUAUCACAGUUUCCCGGCCGGCGCUGGCUUCUCCGGCGUCGGUCGGUCUUUUGCUUUUUCCUCUAAUUUUCAUCUUUCUCUCCAGUAUAGAUCUAGUAAUUUCCAUGGCAAAAUCAAAAUCACAACUUCUCGAUGUUUGCCUUUUUUCAUUGAUGUUGGUGAUAGAUAUGAGUCUCAUGACAUCAAUUUGUUUCACGGUUUCGAUAUUUGCACCAUCUCCGACUUGGGUAGCGUCUAAACACACCCAGAUUUCUUUGGGAGUUUCGGAUCCGACUUUGACAAGCGUUGCAUCCGUUGGCUUCUAUCGUAACUGGUUUGAAGCCGUUAAUUCCAUGUCGAUUCGAAAGAAUAGUUAUGUCCUUCCAUUUGGCAGGUUUAUGUCCGGUGUUUGCCGGUGGUAUUUCC